Molecule: non-coding RNA, 23 nt
Filed under: Arabidopsis thaliana (thale cress)
Lineage: Eukaryota; Viridiplantae; Streptophyta; Magnoliopsida; Brassicales; Brassicaceae
Source: RNAcentral
GUAACUGAUCGGUGCUGGUUUAU